CGAGGGGAUGCAGCAGCAAUUCAUGUUUUGAAGUGCUUUCAAAGAUUCAAAACGUGAGGCGCUGCUAUACCCCUUUGGGGGGAAGUUAGAAGGUGGUG
This 98-nucleotide microRNA precursor is filed under the name Sorex araneus (European shrew). Its description in RNAcentral is "microRNA 424 (ENSSARG00000014586.1)". The stretch from base 1 to 84 matches the Rfam family "mir-322 microRNA precursor family". Lineage: Eukaryota; Metazoa; Chordata; Mammalia; Eulipotyphla; Soricidae. The record is from RNAcentral.